Molecule: long non-coding RNA, 225 nt
Filed under: Elaeis guineensis (African oil palm)
Lineage: Eukaryota; Viridiplantae; Streptophyta; Magnoliopsida; Arecales; Arecaceae
Description: long non-coding RNA (EGUI_LNC020930)
Source: RNAcentral
UGGUUACUUCUACCUUACCGUUUGACCGUGAAUGGCCAACCGACGUGAGUUUGUGCGUAAUAUGAAACUUCGCACAAAACUCUCUGAAAUUUUGAUUGUCAAAUUAUCGAUCAUUGUCGGUGAUAAUGAUGUGUGGCAAACAGAAUCUGUAAAUAAUGAAUUUCUGAAUGAAGUCUUUCAUCUUGCUUUCAGUGAUUUGCGCCAGAGGUUCGGCUUCUAUCCAUU